GUGAGGAAUAUUGGUCAAUGGACGAGAGUCUGAACCAGCCAAGUAGCGUGCAGGAUGACUGCCCUAUGGGUUGUAAACUGCUUUUAUCAGGGAAUAAAGUGAGGCACGUGUGCCUUUUUGUAUGUACCUGAUGAAUAAGGACCGGCUAAUUCCGUGCCAGCAGCCGCGGUAAUACGGAAGGUCCGGGCGUUAUCCGGAUUUAUUGGGUUUAAAGGGAGCGCAGGCGGAAGGUUAAGCGUGACGUGAAAUGUACCGGCUCAACCGGUGAUGUGCGUCGCGAACUGGCUUUCUUGAGUGAGUACGACGCUGGCGGAAUUCGUGGUGUAGCGGUGAAAUGCUUAGAUAUCACGAAGAACUCCGAUUGCGAAGGCAGCCGGCGAGUCCUCAACUGACGCUAAUGCUCGAAAGUGCGGGUAUCGAACAGG
RNAcentral lists this ribosomal RNA (425 nucleotides) under uncultured rumen bacterium. Its description in RNAcentral is "bacterial SSU rRNA". It matches the Rfam family "Bacterial small subunit ribosomal RNA", at positions 354 to 776 of the family's 1533-position model. The record is from RNAcentral.